CCCUAGCCCCCAUCGUGUUCACUCCAUCCCCUGUUUCCCUUCCCAACCCUUUUUGCCAUGAGAGACCACCAUGACUCCAUGAGAGCUGAGGCGUGAGAGAUAGAGACUAGAGAAUCUGCUUCAGUUUCAGCCACCUCGUCGCCAGCGCGGAUCGGAGACCCGUUCAGCCUCAGGCAGCACGGCACUCACCACCGCAACCACACCAGUGCGCCACUAACCACCACCAAGAAGCAUGUCCACGGUCCAUCGAAGAUUCAAGUCGCCACCUCGUCGCCUACUGCCUUCUGCUCGUCAGUCGUCAGUCAUCACCUCCGGCCUCCCUCUUCUCUGCUCGAGUGCUCGUCCCUCCAUCCCUCCAGGGUCCAGUCCAGAUUAUGUUUAUGACAUGGAGAAAGCCUUAAUUGGUUCUAACUUCUAAGCUUUAUCCUGCGGAUAAGGAGCUAGUAAAUUCUACAAUUGAUAAAGCUAGAACUCUGCUUGAUGAUGGUAACAAGGAGAAGAAAGAAACUGAUGUGCUAGUGGAGUAUCUUACUGAAGCUAAGCUUGUUUUUGAGUCCAUUAUAGCUAAGACUGGUGGAGUCAUUGGCGCCGGCUAACGAGAUAUACGCGAAAGUCUACAGUGCACUUUAGACAACAACUAGAUGACAUUUUAUAUGGCGGCCAUAUAUGAGAACGGUUAUUUCUGACGACCUAUCCGUAAUUUUGGUAGUGUGCUCUAGAAAGUCUCCAUUGUCAUUUGAGUGUAUAGAGUGGCACCCAACAGACUGAGUAAGACGCCAAUUCCGGUUUGAACAACUUCGACAGGAGGAACCAUUUCAUAUUGGUGAUGCUUAUUGUAGGCGUUGACCGGCACACAGAAUUAUGACCGGAGCGACAGGAACAAGGAUUGGGUUAACAUGUGGAUUUUUGACCCCUAUAAUACACUGUAGCUAGGGGACGAAAUUGUUAAUUUCCAUCCUCUUCUAAUGUACUAUAAGUGGUACACGCAGCAGUACAGAAAUUAUCUACGGUUGUCAAAUAGAGUUGCGCAUGCAGAAGCCAGGUGAAUGAACCACAGGCGUAUUUUGAAAUGUGACUUUGUAUGUUCUCACAAAAACCAUUUUAGAACUCUACAAAAUUCACUGUGCAUGGAAUAGUAAAGGAAAAUGGACAUUCACAAAUAAAAGUCACUCCUUUAUGUAUAUUUAGUAUAA
This is a long non-coding RNA of Arachis duranensis, 1193 nucleotides long. RefSeq lists it as uncharacterized. The record is from RefSeq and is a predicted model, not a curated record. Lineage: Eukaryota; Viridiplantae; Streptophyta; Magnoliopsida; Fabales; Fabaceae. The transcript is spliced from 4 exons.